GGUACCACAGGUGCUUGAAUGAUUAGUCUGUGGGUUUUUCUCCACACCAUGCCAGCUCGUAUUUCCUCCUUGGAACGCUCUGGAUUGUUCUCUGCAUUUGUGCAGAGUUCACAGUUGCUCUGCAGGCAAGCCUUGUCUGGAAGGGCCACACUGCUCUGUUUACCUUUGCACCUUUACGCCAUCUCCGUUUCUACUCCGUUUUUACUCUUCCGACACUUUCCUGUGUUCAGUCAGCUUUUAAUUAUUCUGUGGCCAUUUCUGGUUUUAGUUUUGAAAUGUUGAUUCCUUUUAUUCUUAAUUUAUUUUGAUGUAUUUAUUUUGCAUGCUCAGGCAUGUCGAAUUCAGGGCCUUGGAGCUGUCUUCCUUCUCCCUGUAGUUGAUUCUCUAGGGAGGAACACUGUAUCUUACCUGUCAACUAAAGCUUUUGUUUGGCUGGUUCGUUUUUCGAAUUUUGUUUUCUUCAGUCCUCAAUAAGGUCUUUGAUAGUUACUGAAUCUAAAAAUUCAUCAUGUCCCUCGGGUUUUAUGAUCCUUAUCUACCUUGUAAAAACAAAACAAAAUACUUAUUUGAGGGCUGAAGAGAUGGCUCAGCCUUUAAGAGCGCUGUCUGUUCCUCCAGAGGACCCAGCUCUCUUACAGUCAUCUGUACCUCUUGUUCCAGGGGACCCAGUGUUCUUGUCUCAUGGUCACUGGGCACACAAGUGGUGCAUAGACAUAUGUUCAGGAAAAACACCCAUACACACAAAAGUAAAAGUUGAGUCUUAAACCCAUAAUAAAACCCAUUAAUGGGGUUGGGGGUAAAGUUGCGAUGAAGCUAAAAUCUGUGCGUAUCACCAGAUCUUGCCUCCUUGCCCUGAAUGCUUCCUGAUAAACAUUAGACGCGGGCUACUGCCCCACCCCCACCCCGUUCCUUUUCUUGCCCUGUUCCAAGCUAACCUGGAGUGUACCCCUCCAUCCCUCCUGCAGGAUCCUAGCCACAUCUGAAGCCAUGAA
This 992-nucleotide long non-coding RNA is filed under the name Rattus norvegicus (Norway rat). Its description in RNAcentral is "long non-coding RNA NONRATT008933". The record is from RNAcentral. Lineage: Eukaryota; Metazoa; Chordata; Mammalia; Rodentia; Muridae.